Molecule: long non-coding RNA, 357 nt
Filed under: Amborella trichopoda
Lineage: Eukaryota; Viridiplantae; Streptophyta; Magnoliopsida; Amborellales; Amborellaceae
Description: long non-coding RNA (ATRI_LNC004065)
Source: RNAcentral
AUAGCAUUUGUGUACCCUUCAAUAAAUUGAUCAUAUCUUUCAAACCAUAAGGAAUUUCUUGAUGAAACUUUUUUUGUUUGAAUGUAGACUCAAUUUUGUGCGUCACAACAAAAAUAUUAGCAAGAAACAAAAUCAUAUAAUUGGUAGGAAAAAUCACGAAACUCAAGGGACAGUUUCUCGAUUUUGCAGAGUCAGAACUAACACCUUUCAUUGAUGAUUUCAUAACUCUCAAUUCCUUAGGAUCUCCCACUGAAAUUUUGCAGGUUGAUUCUAAUAUCAAUUACACACAAUAUCACUGAAAUAUGCAAUAAAAAAAUACAUCAUUAUCUUCUUCAUAUCACUGAUCCAAAAUAACCU